UGGGGAAUUUUGGGCAAUGGGCGAAAGCCUGACCCAGCAACGCCGCGUGAAGGAUGAAGUAUUUCGGUAUGUAAACUUCGAAAGAAUAGGAAGAAUUAAUGACAGUACUAUUUAUAAGGUCCGGCUAACUACGUGCCAGCAGCCGCGGUAAUACGUAGGGACCAAGCGUUGUUCGGAUUUACUGGGCGUAAAGGGCGCGUAGGCGGCAAUUCAAGUCAGCUGUGAAAUCUCUGGGCUUAACCCGGAACGGCCAGCUGAUACUGCUUUGCUAGAGUGCGGAAGGGGCAAUCGGAAUUCUUGGUGUAGCGGUAAAAUGCGUAGAUAUCAAGAGGAACACCUGAGGUGAAGACGGGUUGCUGGGCCGACACUGACGCUGAGGCGCGAAAGCCAGGGGAGCAAACG
This 402-nucleotide ribosomal RNA is filed under the name uncultured bacterium. Its description in RNAcentral is "bacterial SSU rRNA". It matches the Rfam family "Bacterial small subunit ribosomal RNA", at positions 355 to 774 of the family's 1533-position model. The record is from RNAcentral.